RNAcentral lists this small RNA (822 nucleotides) under Neoscytalidium hyalinum. RNAcentral describes it as "eukaryotic LSU rRNA". It matches the Rfam family "Eukaryotic large subunit ribosomal RNA", at positions 79 to 918 of the family's 3401-position model. Lineage: Eukaryota; Fungi; Ascomycota; Dothideomycetes; Botryosphaeriales; Botryosphaeriaceae. The record is from RNAcentral.
CUCAGUAACGGCGAGUGAAGCGGCAACAGCUCAAAUUUGAAAGCUGGCCCCCCCGGGGGUCCGCGUUGUAAUUUGUAGAGGAUGAUUCGGCGAGGGCUCCCGCCUAAGUCCCCUGGAACGGGGCGUCAUAGAGGGUGAGAAUCCCGUAUGCGGUGGGCUGCCUUAGCCAUGUGAAUCUCCUUCGACGAGUCGAGUUGUUUGGGAAUGCAGCUCUAAAUGGGAGGUAAAUUUCUUCUAAAGCUAAAUACCGGCCAGAGACCGAUAGCGCACAAGUAGAGUGAUCGAAAGAUGAAAAGCACUUUGGAAAGAGAGUUAAAAAGUACGUGAAAUUGUUGAAAGGGAAGCGCUUGCAGCCAGACUUGUCCGCAGUUGCUCAGCCGGUCUCCUGACCGGCGCACUCUUCUGCGGCCAGGCCAGCAUCAGUUCGGGCGGUCGGAUAAAGGCCCCGGGAACGUAGCUCCUCUCGGGGAGUGUUAUAGCCCGGGGUGGAAUGCGGCCAGCCUGGACUGAGGAUCUCGCUUCGGCUAGGAUGCUGGCGUAAUGGCUGUAAGCGGCCCGUCUUGAAACACGGACCAAGGAGUCUAACAUCUAUGCGAGUGUUUGGGUGUCAAACCCAUGCGCGUAAUGAAAGUGAACGGAGGUGGGAACCCUCGCGGGUGCACCAUCGACCGAUCCUGAUGUCUUCGGAUGGAUUUGAGUAAGAGCAUAGCUGUUGGGACCCGAAAGAUGGUGAACUAUGCCUGAAUAGGGUGAAGCCAGAGGAAACUCUGGUGGAGGCUCGCAGCGGUUCUGACGUGCAAAUCGAUCGUCAAAUUUGGGUAU